Molecule: ribosomal RNA, 523 nt
Filed under: uncultured bacterium
Lineage: Bacteria
Description: partial 16S ribosomal RNA
Rfam family: Bacterial small subunit ribosomal RNA
Source: RNAcentral
UGGGGAAUUUUGGACAAUGGGCGCAAGCCUGAUCCAGCCAUGCCGCGUGCGGGAAGAAGGCCUUCGGGUUGUAAACCGCUUUUGUCAGGGAAGAAAUCUUCUGAGUUAAUACCUCGGGAGGAUGACGGUACCUGAAGAAUAAGCACCGGCUAACUACGUGCCAGCAGCCGCGGUAAUACGUAGGGUGCAAGCGUUAAUCGGAAUUACUGGGCGUAAAGCGUGCGCAGGCGGUUUUGUAAGACAGAGGUGAAAUCCCCGGGCUCAACCUGGGAACUGCCUUUGUGGCUGCAAGGCUUGAGUGCGGCAGAGGGGGGCAUGGAAUUCCGCGUGUAGCAGUGAAAUGCGUAGAUAUGCGGAGGAACACCGAUGGCGAAGGCAAUCCCCUGGGCCUGCACUGACGCUCAUGCACGAAAGCGUGGGGAGCAAACAGGAUUUAGAUACCCUGGUAGUCCACGCCCUAAACGAUGUCAACUGGUUGUUGGGGAAGGUUCCCUUUCCUCAGUAACGUAGCUAACGCGUGAAG